GGUAGGCGGCGGCAGUAGCGGUGAGGGUGGUCGGGACUUCAGUGUCGGUGGCAACGGCAGCGAUGGUGUUUGCUGUCCCGGAAGUGGGGAACCCGGCGGUGGCGGAUGUGACGUCAUCUGUGGGUUCUUCGAUAGUGGCCUCAGUUCAUAAGUCUAACAAGGUGGAGGCUACCCAGGCCAUGUUGACUGCAGAAUGUUGGAGAAUAAUUGAUAUUUUUCAAGCUGGAGGAAGGUUCCCCAGAAAUUAGUAUUGGGACCCGUGUUUUUCCAGAUAUACAACUUACUAUGAGACAGGGGAGUAUGAAAAAACCCCACAGCUAUGCUUGCUGGAGGACAAGAGUCGACAUAUUUCUAAUGUGAGUUAUUAUUUUGGAAAGAUUUAUUUAGACACCUCUUGACUAUGGCCAGAGGUAGUGUGUUCAACCUGUCAAGGCUCUGAGGAGAAGGAGCAGGCAGUUAACCCUGAUCAUUCACACCUGGCUUGUGUAUAUAUUAUGUGAAA
Molecule: long non-coding RNA, 502 nt
Organism: Rhincodon typus (whale shark)
Lineage: Eukaryota; Metazoa; Chordata; Chondrichthyes; Orectolobiformes; Rhincodontidae
Exons: 3
Source: RefSeq, a predicted model, not a curated record